AAACUACGCAAGAGAUGAGAUGGCCCGUCAGCAUGUCAGCUUCCAAAAAUAGACAAUACCAGUACUAUAAAUUAAGAAUUGUGCAAAUUGCAGCUGUAACCCUUGUGUUAAAAUCAUGCAAUUUUUCGAACUUUAGUGAUAUGCAGAUUUUGUUUUGAGGACACUGUUUUGAAUUAUUUUGGUUUGCUCACAGAACUGAAGCCAAAAAUUGCCAAUAAGCUGAAAUGAAGUUCCUGGUCAAUGAGUUAGAGUUGUUUUAUCGUUAGUGAGCUGCUCAGUGAGCAAUGAGCAAGCCUCCAACUUGUAAUAGUCUGUCACACAACAGAUGUCUAAAUCUGAACAGAACACCAAAACCACUUCCUUUUCUUAUUAUAGUCCAAAUAGAGAAGUCAGUAGAAGACACCCCGAUGAGUGUGCCAUUCAUUUGAUUUACCGUCAUUCGACAUUGCUAGUCGCUCCUUUACACAUCGCUCAUCUCUUACGUACAUAUUAUUUCAUACAAAUCCCCUUAUUCUUCUUGGAACUAUAUCAAGAUCAUCAGCAAUAUACCAACAUGAAAGGCUUCCUCUUCCUGUUGUACUGCAUAGAAAUCCUGGGUGCAGUGAAUGGAGCUCAAAGUGUCACAGGAAAUAUUCCUACCUCAAUUGCCUCAAAAGCUGCUUCAAACCCAAACUCUCCUUUUUCAUCUUCUCAAACACCCACCAUUGUUGCCAACAGCAUUUCUCAGUCAACUACAAAAGGACCCACCAGCCAUGCCGCUCCACCUUUACCUGGCGCACAUCGGCCCACCACCAAACCUUUCGUUAUGUUUUACAGGAAGGAAUACCUUUCACUGCUCAUGGUGACCGGCGGACUGAUCAUAGCCUGUGCUAUUCUGCUGUUUACUACUCUGCUGUUGAUUUGGAAGGUGUGCAAGUUGAGCAGACGCAUCAAGAUGCUGAGCAGCAACGCUGAUCUGAUCAGCACCUCUGAAUACUGGGUUGGAACUGCCAAGAGGAACAAAAGUGCGUCAGAGAAAGAAGACAAAGAGACCACUGUGUUAAUGUCUGACAUAAUUCAAACACAGGAGGACAUUGGUAAUGGUACCACCAAGGAAGAAGGCAAGAAGGUAAACGAAGGUGGACAAAAGGGAGAGGAAAACAAGAAGGAGGCGGGAGACCCUGCAAAGAGUGAGGAAGCUUCAACUGCACCUGAAACCGUUGAUUAAAAUGCGUCCACCACAAAGCCACAAGAGGAAGCCAAAGACUCCAAGUCCACCAAAUCGGCAGCAGCCUCCAACUCGAAGGGCACAGAGGAACCAAAGGAUGUGGUGUAGAAUUGUGCCAAAAAGUUUCCUGAGUGCCUGCAUUUAUUUCCAUAUAGCUUUACAAUACGAUAAUAAAGGAUACUUUUUUCAGCAGCUUUUGCUUUGCAGGAAGUUGAACAACUGCUGCUAAAUCUGUCAAACGGAGCACUGAGCAUUUCUUCUUGAAAACAAUUGGUAGAUAUUGUAUUUCUCUGUUAUUUGUGGCUUUUUUUUAUAUAUACAGCUAUAGACCUGUCACUCAAAAUGGACACGUCCUUAAUUAUGAGUUAUAUAAAAAUGUGAGAAAAACAAAGUUCUCUUCACAAACUCAAAAUAUUCCUUUAAAGUUAUGAAAAUCUUUUGUCCAAGUCAAUUUGUGUUGUGACAAACUUUACUUUUGGAGAUGUACAUACUUUUAAAUAACAUAUGCAACAAUAAAACCCUUCCUACCUAACUUUAGUCUUGAAUCUUUUACUUUGCUGCCAUUGUCCCGUUGAGUUGUGACUUUGUAUAGUGUGUGUAUUAAAAGUCUGAGAAGUUUGUCCCUUCUCAAUGCAACCUCUGCUUCAACUCCAGAAAGGAGCAGCAGUUGGAAACACUCAGAGUUGCAGUAGCUCUGGGUGAUGUGCAAGUUUAAAGAUGCAGUAAAUGCAAUCCUCAGUCAAAAUAAAUGUCAAUGUCUGAUUGUAAAUCAGGCAAUCAAAGUGAAUAAGGUAAACUUGGAUAUGAGAGAUUUGGAUGAUUUAUUUCUCUCUGCUGCUAUGUGCUAACCAGUGGCGUAGCUAGGCCCAUUUUAGGUGGGCUUCACCAGAUUUAUGCAAAUGUUCUUUAUUUUGGGCAAGGGGGACCUGUGUCAGUGUUUUCUCCAAUCAUUCAAUGUUUUUAUG
Long non-coding RNA from Cottoperca gobio, 2172 nucleotides. NCBI's taxonomy places the organism in Eukaryota, Metazoa, Chordata, Actinopteri, Perciformes, Bovichtidae. The record is from Ensembl.